RNAcentral lists this ribosomal RNA (772 nucleotides) under uncultured Pseudoalteromonadaceae bacterium. RNAcentral describes it as "bacterial SSU rRNA". It matches the Rfam family "Bacterial small subunit ribosomal RNA", at positions 28 to 776 of the family's 1533-position model. Lineage: Bacteria; Pseudomonadati; Pseudomonadota; Gammaproteobacteria; Alteromonadales; Pseudoalteromonadaceae. The record is from RNAcentral.
AUUGAACGCUGGCGGCAGGCCUAACACAUGCAAGUCGAGCGGAAACGAGUUAUCUGAACCUUCGGGGAACGAUAACGGCGUCGAGCGGCGGACGGGUGAGCAAUGCCUAGGAAAUUGCCCUGAUGUGGGGGAUAACCAUUGGAAACGAUGGCUAAUACCGCAUGAUGCCUACGGGCCAAAGAGGGGGACCUUCGGGCCUCUCGCGUCAGGAUAUGCCUAGGUGGGAUUAGCUAGUUGGUGAGGUAAGGGCUCACCAAGGCAACGAUCCCUAGCUGGUCUGAGAGGAUGAUCAGCCACACUGGAACUGAGACACGGUCCAGACUCCUACGGGAGGCAGCAGUGGGGAAUAUUGCACAAUGGGCGCAAGCCUGAUGCAGCCAUGCCGCGUGUAUGAAGAAGGCCUUCGGGUUGUAAAGUACUUUCAGUCGUGAGGAAGGCGUUGUCGUUAAUAGCGGCAUCGUUUGACGUUAGCGACAGAAGAAGCACCGGCUAACUCCGUGCCAGCAGCCGCGGUAAUACGGAGGGUGCGAGCGUUAAUCGGAAUUACUGGGCGUAAAGCGCAUGCAGGUGGUUUGUUAAGUCAGAUGUGAAAGCCCGGGGCUCAACCUCGGAAUAGCAUUUGAAACUGGCAGACUAGAGUACUGUAGAGGGGGGUAGAAUUUCAGGUGUAGCGGUGAAAUGCGUAGAGAUCUGAAGGAAUACCGGUGGCGAAGGCGGCCCCCUGGGACAGAUACUUGACACUCAGAUGCGAAAGCGUGGGGGAGCAAACAGG